Long non-coding RNA from Cygnus atratus (black swan), 1309 nucleotides. RefSeq lists it as uncharacterized. Lineage: Eukaryota; Metazoa; Chordata; Aves; Anseriformes; Anatidae. The record is from RefSeq and is a predicted model, not a curated record. The transcript has 3 exons.
CAUGUUGUCACACCUCAUCCACAACAGUGGCUACUUCCAAGCAACGAGUGAGGCGCUUCAUCUCCCUGGGAUCCCAUGUACCCUUCUGCUUUAAAAAGAGAGGCAGCCCAAGGAACUUAAGGCCCUGAUGCCAUUCCUCUUGCAUUGUGCACAUGGUUUGUCAGCCUGGACUAAAAGGUGCACUGCUGUUUGAACGCCAUGGAAAGCUGCGUGGAAAAGCAGUGCCUCCAAGGAUGCCUUCUGUGAUCACCCCUGUUAAGCACCUGCUCUCCCUCUUUGUUGCCUUUUGCUGGCCCAGCUGCCAGGUCUGUUUUUAUAUUUGAGACUGUAGCAGUACCUUGACUGUUCACGUCCCUGUCUAUGGAGGUACUGGUGGUGAGGGCACCUGUGAGCGAAAUGGUGGCAACAGCCCUGCUAUCUAACAUUUGUCUGAAGAAAUUGGACGUUAUUCUCAGUGAACAUAAUAAGACAACUUUCCUGCACUGCCUAGAGAUGACAUUUUAAAGUAACAAGAGUUAUGUUAAACUAGAAAAAGAAAAUUAAGUGAAUGCUUGCUGGGUAUUGUGUUGAUCAGUUAAGAUCCUUUCAGUCUACACAAAUGGUUCUUCUCUGUGGCAUGGUAGGUUUGUCCUGAACCUUGUCCUUUCAUUCGUUUCAUUUUGUUUUUAUCAAACUAUCAUUUAUGAAAGCAAUCUGGCAAAUAUGGUACAAUACAGACUGACUUGUGGUAUUUCAUCUGAUCAGAUAGAUGAUGCCCAUUUCAAUUUCUGUGUGUGCCAAAGUUGAAGCCCAGUACCAUCAUUUUAUCUGCAAGCAUUAUAUGUUUACAUUUCCAGACUGUUUUAGCAGAAGUGCCUGGCUAUUUGGGGAUAAUGCAACCUGUUCGUGCUGUGUACUGUGCAUGAAAAAAGUCCACAAGCACAGGGCUUCCUGUCGAAAGGAUUUGGACACCACCAGUCUGACACCAGAGCUUUGGAGCCACAUCCCUGAAAGAUUUUCUUUGAAGUAUCAAAAGAUUUACAGGGGGCCUGUGGUCUGAACACUUCCAGUGUGGUGAAGUAGAAGAAACCAGAAACCAGUCGUGCCUUCUAAGGAAAUCUUCUGUAACAACUGUGGAGAAGGCAAAGAACCUAAAAAAAGAAAGUGCAGGUGAAUUCCAGGUCACGGCAGAGCAGAAGUCAUAGCUCAAGCUCUGAGCAGGGCAACUUGUACAUUUCCUCUCUGCUGUUUCCUAAAGAAGACAAAUACAUCUUUUUUUUUUCUUUCUGUAAGUUGUAAACUUCUGGAAAUGUUUUUGUUUUGCUUGGAG